This 235-nucleotide ribosomal RNA is filed under the name uncultured bacterium. RNAcentral describes it as "partial 16S ribosomal RNA". It matches the Rfam family "Bacterial small subunit ribosomal RNA", at positions 99 to 334 of the family's 1533-position model. The record is from RNAcentral.
CGGACGGGUGAGUAACGCGUGGGUGACCUACCCUGUACACACGGAUAACAUACCGAAAGGUAUGCUAAUACGGGAUAAUAUAUUUGAGAGGCAUCUCUUGAAUAUCAAAGGUGAGCCAGUACAGGAUGGACCCGCGUCUGAUUAGCUAGUUGGUAAGGUAACGGCUUACCAAGGCGACGAUCAGUAGCCGACCUGAGAGGGUGAUCGGCCACAUUGGAACUGAGACACGGUCCAA